GACCCCAAAGUGACGGUACCUGCAGAAAAAGCACCGGCUAACUACGUGCCAGCAGCCGCGGUAAUACGUAGGGUGCAAGCGUUGUCCGGAAUUAUUGGGCGUAAAGAGCUCGUAGGCGGUUUGUCGCGUCUGCUGUGAAAACCCGAGGCUCAACCUCGGGCCUGCAGUGGGUACGGGCAGACUAGAGUGCGGUAGGGGAGAUUGGAAUUCCUGGUGUAGCGGUGGAAUGCGCAGAUAUCAGGAGGAACACCAAUGGCGAAGGCAGAUCUCUGGGCCGUAACUGACGCUGAGGAGCGAAAGCAUGGGGAGCGAACAGGAUUAGAUACCCUGGUAGUCCAUGCCGUAAACGUUGGGAACUAGAUGUGGGGACCAUUCCACGGUCUCCGUGUCGCAGCUAACGCAUUAAGUUCCCCGCCUGGGGAGUACGGCCGCAAGGCUAAAACUCAAAGGAAUUGACGGGGGCCCGCACAAGCGGCGGAGCAUGCGGAUUAAUUCGAUGCAACGCGAAGAACCUUACCAAGGCUUGACAUAUAGAGGAAACGUCUGGAAACAGUCGCCCCGCAAGGUCUCUAUACAGGUGGUGCAUGGUUGUCGUCAGCUCGUGUCGUGAGAUGUUGGGUUAAGUCCCGCAACGAGCGCAACCCUCGUCCUAUGUUGCCAGCACGUAAUGGUGGGAACUCAUGGGAUACUGCCGGGGUCAACUCGGAGGAAGGUGGGGAUGACGUCAAAUCAUCAUGCCCCUUAUGUCUUGGGCUUCACGCAUGCUACAAUGGCCGGUACAAAGGGCUGCAAUACCGCAAGGUGGAGCGAAUCCCAAAAAGCCGGUCUCAGUUCGGAUUGAGGUCUGCAACUCGACCUCAUGAAGUCGGAGUCGCUAGUAAUCGCAGAUCAGCAACGCUGCGGUGAAUACGUUCCCGGGCCUUGUACACACCGCCCGUCAAGUCAUGAAAGUCGGUAACACCC
Molecule: ribosomal RNA, 963 nt
Filed under: Cryobacterium sp.
Lineage: Bacteria; Bacillati; Actinomycetota; Actinomycetes; Micrococcales; Microbacteriaceae
Description: bacterial SSU rRNA
Rfam family: Bacterial small subunit ribosomal RNA
Source: RNAcentral